RNAcentral lists this long non-coding RNA (901 nucleotides) under Carica papaya (papaya). RNAcentral's name for it is "long non-coding RNA (CPAP_LNC000037)". Lineage: Eukaryota; Viridiplantae; Streptophyta; Magnoliopsida; Brassicales; Caricaceae. The record is from RNAcentral.
CUGUUGUGAUCACACGAGCGGGCACAGGAUGUGGUUAUAAAGAUAAUCAUUGCAUAGAAUUAUUUUUGCCGUGGAUUCUGUAAGGAUUGAAAGAAACAUUCAACUCAUGACAAGAAAGUUUUUGUUGUAGUAAACUACCUUAGUUAACAGAGAUGUUGCUUCCUCCCGAGGUACCUUAUCUCAUACUCAAAAUACCAAUGAACCUUGAGAUACUCAUCUUUCCAAUAAAAAUUGCAUCAUAGUCAUGAUAAGUGGGUCAAAUUCUCUAAUAGUUAUCCCUUUGCUCUUAUAUGUUGUUUAACUAUUCAUGACAAUAAAAAAGGCUGACAAUGCAUUUAAUGGGACAUCAAAUUGCAGCUUGAGGCUUUUAUUUGGGUACAAUACUGGGUUAAAACCAUGUCAUUAUCAUUGUUGACUUUGGAUAUGAUUCUUAUGUUGUUCGGUCCAUUGGAGCAUGCACUUUCAACUUUCUUCAUGAUACACAUCACAUUUACAUAUUGAUUUGAUAUUCUUUGUCAUAAUGCUCUUCUUUCUAAGCAAACUAUAUUCAUACCUAACAUAUUCCUAGUUUGCCUGCUAAGAUUAAAUGUAACAUCACAAUAAGCAAUGUAGAUUAUGAAUUUAUUAGUAUUGUGCAAUGUAGACCAAGUGAAAUUUAUUAUUAUGUUGAUUCUGUCAUGAUUUGCACUAAAAGUAAGCGUUAUCUUAUCCUUCUUAAGAAUUUACUCCCUCGAGGUGCAGACCCUUCUAUCAUUUUGAGAAAGCUUGGAUCUAAUAUUUAUUUACUUGAUUAGCCGCCUAGUCAUGGGAAUAUAAGUAAUUUUCAUUGUAAGUCAAGUUUUUAUUUUGUGAUAUAAGUAAAUAUUUCCUAUAUGGGCCACUCCCCUUUGGUGCCUUUUAA